Long non-coding RNA from Artibeus jamaicensis (Jamaican fruit-eating bat), 360 nucleotides. RefSeq lists it as uncharacterized. The record is from RefSeq and is a predicted model, not a curated record. NCBI's taxonomy places the organism in Eukaryota, Metazoa, Chordata, Mammalia, Chiroptera, Phyllostomidae. The transcript has 3 exons.
GGAACUCAGAGAGGCCGGGCUCCCCGCGGGCGUGGUAACCUAAUCCUGGCCUGGCGGGGAGGGCACGGAAAACGGCCGCGAGGCCCGGCAGUGCUGAGGUUACGUAAAAGGUGCCGGUGUCCGAGAUGCAAAAACGCACUGCACGCCGCUCCACGCACAAGCUCCUGUUUUUCUCGCAGACUCGCAGUGAAUACCAUCGUGGCCAGCUCAGGAGAAGUUGUGAAAUGAUCACGGCACAGUCCCCACCCCACAGAAACUGACACCGUGCAAGGAAAGGCCAAAAUCACAGAGUCAUCUCCCACCUCACACUGACCUCUCUGAAGAACUCCAGUCACAGCUGAUGUGUUCAGAACUUUCCGA